Molecule: small RNA, 124 nt
Filed under: Marmota monax (woodchuck)
Lineage: Eukaryota; Metazoa; Chordata; Mammalia; Rodentia; Sciuridae
Source: RNAcentral
GCCAGGCAUGGUGGCGCCCGCCUGUAAUCCAGCAGCUCAGGAGGCUGAGGCAGGAGGAUUCCGAGUUCAAAGCCAGCCUCAGCAAAAGCAAGGUGCUAAGCAACUGGGUAAGACCCUGUCUCUA